UGAGUGUGCUAGUGCACCGGGUCC
This 24-nucleotide non-coding RNA is filed under the name Arabidopsis thaliana (thale cress). The record is from RNAcentral. Lineage: Eukaryota; Viridiplantae; Streptophyta; Magnoliopsida; Brassicales; Brassicaceae.